CGCAGCGAUAGGAGCCAUCCGUAUUGAUGCACUGCCCAUGUUUACAGACAUCUGGUUCUUUGCACUCAUCCAUAUCUUAAGUAAAGGAUUAAAAAAAAGUGAAUAACAAGCCAAUUUUCCAAAAUAACUUGAUGUGAAUAACAAACUCCAACACUAUCACGUUUCAAAGCUGACAUCAUCAGUGACUUCCGGGUGGGGACAUUAAGAAGUGGAAUAAUUCACAAGACCCCUCCAUUGACAGAUGGCUUACAUGUGUUUUGGGUAAUAUUUAGUGAGCAUACUAAAUUAAGGUAGGCCUCCCAGUUCUGGUACUUACUAUGCUCUCACACCAGGUUGUUUAUUCUGGGUCCCCUCAGCCAAAAUAAAACCAAAUAAACCAAAAUAAAACCCCUGAUUCCAAGCACAGAACAAAUAAAGAUGUGGCAAUUUUGUGGAUUGGCAAAAAUACGACAAUAAUGAUCAUUCACUGAAGCAGCUAUUGAUGUAGUUGCUAUUUACAAAACGCCACGUGGGGCUUUCUGCAGAUUUUAUACACACACACACACACACACACACACACACGAUACAGAAGGUUGUUUAGCUCAACAGAGAGGGACGGUGAAGAGGAGGGCAGGGAGAUGGGUAGAUAGGAGGGAGAAUAAUUUUUCUUUCAAAGAAUACAUUUCUUUAAUAUCGGUUAUUUUUUGGUGACUCCAACAUGGAAGAUGGGAUCUAGUUGCUACAAACUUCUCCAGCAUUGCUUGACAUAAUUUUGGAAACUGACUUUUCCAUUUCUUAUAGAGCAAAUUGGGUGGCUCUAAAAAGUGAGCUCAUCCAGAAGCCUGGAGUGUGUCCCCUCAAAUUUGACAUCCAAAGCUUUAUAGACUCCCCUCUAGUUACAUGGAGGCUAAAAUCUGCAGGUUUUAAGGAAACGCUUUCAUAUCCAUUUGAGGAAUUGCCACUUCUUUAUGUGUGAUCAGGUAUGCUCUCUCCUGUCACUGUUUUUCAACCCCAGGCAGCAUAUUAUUAACAGCCACCUAUGCAUUUCUGUUAAGACAAUUUCUCAGCUUUUAUUUCGUGACAAAGGAGACAGUGUAAGAAUAAUUGAGUUGCCAAAGAUCGUAUCAGAAAAAUUUUCAUGAAUUAAAGUAAAAAUAUCAAUCAAUCAAACAUAUAUACCAGGCUUUGGUAAGUCUAAUUCAGUUGGCCUCCCCAGUGAACUUCUUCAACCAACUCUUCCAGAUACAUUUUCUCACUAAUUUUUACUCCACCUCCAGAUUGGUUACAGCUAGACCUAAGAGGUAUCUUUCAGUGAAUCUUCUGAAGAUCAAGAGCACUAAAAGCCAGUCUUUGCCCUGAGACAUGCCUGCCCUCCAAAUAUUCGCUUUGCUGAGAAGUUUCAAGAUUUAACGAAUAUAGUUUCUCUAAUGACACCUUUUGAUUCGCUUUAUUCUUCAAGUUCAUUGUCACAUACAAUGUUUCGUGUUUAUUAUUUAUACCUACAACUGUCUUAAGGUAUCAUUUAGUGACUAUUCACAAAAAUGUCUCAAUGAAUAUAUUAAAACUUAAUUGUCUCUGUUGUCUUCCACCUUAAAAUGUUUCCGUUAAACCUAGAUAUUUCUUUUCAUUUAUCAUUAAAUAAAUUAAUUAAAUAAAUUAAAUAAAUCCAUAAAUCAGU
This is a long non-coding RNA of Felis catus (domestic cat), 1657 nucleotides long. RefSeq lists it as uncharacterized. NCBI's taxonomy places the organism in Eukaryota, Metazoa, Chordata, Mammalia, Carnivora, Felidae. The transcript is spliced from 2 exons. The record is from RefSeq and is a predicted model, not a curated record.